RNAcentral lists this ribosomal RNA (497 nucleotides) under uncultured bacterium. Its description in RNAcentral is "partial 16S ribosomal RNA". It matches the Rfam family "Bacterial small subunit ribosomal RNA", at positions 28 to 507 of the family's 1533-position model. The record is from RNAcentral.
GAUGAACGCUGGCGGCGUGCCUAAUACAUGCAAGUCGAGCGAACAGACGAGAAGCUUGCUCCUCUGACGUUAGCGGCGGACGGGUGAGUAACACGUGGAUAACCUACCUAUAAGACUGGGAUAACUUCGGGAAACCGGAGCUAAUACCGGAUAAUAUAUUGAACCGCAUGGUUCAAUAGUGAAAGACGGUUUUGCUGUCACUUAUGGAUGGAUCCGCGCCGCAUUAGCUAGUUGGUAAGGUAACGGCUUACCAAGGCGACGAUGCGUAGCCGACCUGAGAGGGUGAUCGGCCACACUGGAACUGAGACACGGUCCAGACUCCUACGGGAGGCAGCAGUAGGGAAUCUUCCGCAAUGGGCGAAAGCCUGACGGAGCAACGCCGCGUGAGUGAUGAAGGUCUUCGGAUCGUAAAACUCUGUUAUUAGGGAAGAACAAAUGUGUAAGUAACUAUGCACGUCUUGACGGUACCUAAUCAGAAAGCCACGGCUAACUACGUG